Molecule: ribosomal RNA, 253 nt
Filed under: uncultured bacterium
Lineage: Bacteria
Description: partial 16S ribosomal RNA
Rfam family: Bacterial small subunit ribosomal RNA
Source: RNAcentral
UACGUAGGAGGCAAGCGUUGUCCGGAAUCAUUGGGCGUAAAGAGCGUGUAGGCGGCCAGAUAAGUCCGCUGUGAAAUCUCGAGGCUCAACUUCGAGCUGUCGGUGGAAACUGUCUGGCUAGAGUCCGGAAGAGGAGAAUGGAAUUCCUGGUGUAGCGGUGAAAUGCGCAGAUAUCAGGAAGAACACCCGUGGCGAAGGCGGUUCUCUGGGACGGUACUGACGCUGAGACGCGGAAGCGUGGGGAGCGAACAGG